This 507-nucleotide ribosomal RNA is filed under the name uncultured bacterium. Its description in RNAcentral is "bacterial SSU rRNA". It matches the Rfam family "Bacterial small subunit ribosomal RNA", at positions 28 to 528 of the family's 1533-position model. The record is from RNAcentral.
GACGAACGCUGGCGGCGUGGAUUAGGCAUGCAAGUCGAACGGUAUCAUCCUUUCGGGGGUGAGAGAGUGGCGAACUGGUGAGUAACACGUAGGUUAUCUACCCUCAAGACGGGGACAACCCAGGGAAACUUGGGCUAAUACCGGAUGUGAGCAACUUUUAGUGUUUGAAAGGUGGCGUAAGCUGUCGCUUGGGGAUGAGCCUGCGUCCUAUUAGUUAGUUGGUGAGGUAACGGCUCACCUAGGCAAUGAUAGGUAGGCGGCCUUAACGGGUGGUCGCCCACACUGGGAUUGAGAUACGGCCCAGACUCCUACGGGAGGCAGCAGUCGAGAAUAGUCUACAAUGGUCGGAAGACUGAUAGUGCGACGCCGCGUGAACGAUGAAUCCCUUCGGGUGUAAAGUUCUUUUAUAUGUGAGCAGUGCUUCUUAUAUUAACAGUAUGGGGAGAGAGAUAUUAGCAUAUGAAUAAGCAACGGCUAACUCCGUGCCAGCAGCCGCGGUAAACUCGU